Long non-coding RNA from Arabidopsis lyrata subsp. lyrata, 486 nucleotides. RefSeq lists it as uncharacterized. NCBI's taxonomy places the organism in Eukaryota, Viridiplantae, Streptophyta, Magnoliopsida, Brassicales, Brassicaceae. The record is from RefSeq and is a predicted model, not a curated record. The transcript has 2 exons.
UAAAACAAACUCCAAACUGGGACAAGAUUUUUAAAGUUCCUCUCCUCUCUCUUUCUCUCAAACCAAGACGCAGGAAAAACAAAUUCUCCACAGGAUGAUGAAGACGAAGAGGAGACAUGAAAGAGCACUUACAUAGGCUACUUCGGUGUUUCGCCGGGAAAAUAAAAGUUACCAUGAUCAGUCGUCGGCGUACAUGGGAAGGCCAGGCAUUUUUGGUUUAAUUUUCUCUCUUUUUUUUAUCAUAUUAUGUAAUUCUUUUUUUGGAAAAAUGUCCUAUUUCCAUAAAGUUUUUAUUAUUGUUAUUCAGAUUAUAUCGUAAACAAAUUCGAUCGUAAUAAGAUAAAACGAACUGCUUUUCUACUUUCUGUGUGUUUUCACCUUCUUUCUACAACAUUUACAUUUCUUGUUGUAAUGUGAAUAAGAAUUAAGAAGACUAGUUGAUUAUGUAUUACUAUAUUUAUGAACAAAUUAUAUAUUUGUAUUUAA